Molecule: ribosomal RNA, 250 nt
Filed under: uncultured bacterium
Lineage: Bacteria
Description: partial 16S ribosomal RNA
Rfam family: Bacterial small subunit ribosomal RNA
Source: RNAcentral
GGAUGAAUAUUGGUCAAUGGGCGAAAGCCUGAACCAGCCAUGCCGCGUGCAGGAAGAAUGCCCUAUGGGUUGUAAACUGCUUUUGUUCGGGACGAACAUGCAUACGUGUAUGCAAAUGACGGUACCGGAAGAAUAAGCACCGGCUAACUCCGUGCCAGCAGCCGCGGUAAUACGGAGGGUGCAAGCGUUAUUCGGAUUUAUUGGGUUUAAAGGGUGUGUAGGCGGUUUGAUAAGUCAGUGGUGAAAUCGG